RNAcentral lists this transfer RNA (33 nucleotides) under Aquila nipalensis (steppe eagle). Its description in RNAcentral is "partial tRNA-Thr". Lineage: Eukaryota; Metazoa; Chordata; Aves; Accipitriformes; Accipitridae. The record is from RNAcentral.
CAAAGACUGAAGAUUGUCCCCCUUCUUAGAGUU